AUGUUAUCUGUUGAUACAUUUUCUAAUCUUGUUUUUUUUUGUUGUCAAAUAAUCUUGCAUUGCAGGGUUAGAUGCCACAUUUUAUGGGCCUAUUAUAUUGUAAUUAGUAGCUCCAGCUAUAUGGAUAUGCUAAUUUUGUGUGGCACUGGCUUACCAUAUAUUAAAUCUGCAAGAGAAACAAACUCAGGAAGGUUUGCAUUUAUUUUGGGAAUUCAGCUCUCAAUUAAGCAUACUUGUUACUGUCGUAUGCCCCUUGAAUUCAGCUCUCAAUUAAACAUAUUCUUUACUGUCAUAUGCCUCUGCACUCAGACAUCCUGA
Molecule: non-coding RNA, 318 nt
Organism: Vicia faba (fava bean)
Lineage: Eukaryota; Viridiplantae; Streptophyta; Magnoliopsida; Fabales; Fabaceae
Source: the annotation of a GenBank genome assembly